CAGACAGGACUAGGGAGACAGUGGCCCCAGAAGCAGUUUAAAAUUUUUUUAUUAUUUUGAAAAGGGAUUACAUUCACAUGUUUCAAAAUCCAAACAAGAUAACACAGCAUAGAGAAAGAAGCCUUUCCGCCUUCCUACUCUGUAACCCUGCUUUUCGUUUCCUGUGUGUCCUUUCAGAGCUCCUUUUGCUUUCAAAAGCAAAUACAAAUACGGGCAGCUUCUGAAUGGAUGGCCAAGUGACUCUGGAGCUUCCGCGCUGUGUGAGGGCUGGGCUUUCUGUCCCUGUUCACCCUCGAACCCAGGCUUCAGCCACCGCACGGGAGAAGAUGGUUCAGACCACACCUCUACCCUGACUCAGCACACACAGCUGUACCGUCAGGGGCUGCAAACCAACAUCUCUCAGGGCCUUCCUGGAAGCUGCGGCUGGACUCCCCUUGUACUCCAGGGGAGCAUCCCUGGAGGCCCAGGUCGGGGCUCCUGGAGGGUCCCUGGGUUCUGGGGGACAGAAGAACAGGGAGGAAGAAUCCAGAUGUGGCUCACUGGGCUCUGUGGAUCUGGCACUGGAACAGCUGUCCAGGCUUUGGGGCCCCCGACACCCCUGCUGCUCUCCCUCAGGCCCCAGAUCUGCUUGGGCCCCCAGUGGGCAACCGCUCGGUGCUGGCCCACCACAGGGAAAUAUUCCGGUGGAGGAACACGCCCCAACCCCAAUUGUGCUUCUCCAGAUAUCUGCGGCUGAAGGCGCCUGAAGAGCAGCACCACACAUGAGCCCUCACCGGCACCAGGGAUCCCGUCUAGCCUCAUGCAGAACAACCACCCACCUCCACAAGAGGUUGUUUUUUGGGGGGUUGGGGUGGGGGAGGUGUCCCUCUGGGAGUCUGGGUUUUAGAAAACAAUACCCAAUAUAGGAGAAAUGGAUGCCCAGAGGACAGAGGAUGAAGAUGAGCCCAGAUGAAAGAGGACUAUCGCAAGGGGUAAGUCUCUCCACCUCCCUCCCAGUCACACAGGGCCCUUGGCUUUGAGCACAUGCCCAUCCCCCUAAAAGCUGGUUCCCACUCUUUAACUCCAGAACCUGGGGAACACUGCAGCUUUAACUAAGCCCUACCCAGGGGCUCACACUUAAAUUGUCAGGGGGUGAGGAGGGGGGCAGAGACAAGAACACCACAGGGUGCCUGUCCCUGCCUUCGCUAAGCCCCUUCCAGGAGGGGCAGCUGGGUGCUGCUGGGAUCCCCGAUGUGAGUCUGUGCCCUCUUUCAGCACGGUUCCAAGGAGUUAUUGGUCUCUCCCCGGUGCCACCCUAUACCCUCCCUCCCACCUCGGGCCACGGGUAGAAAGCAGGAAGGACAGGCAUGCCAUCCCAGUAGACCUGCUGCUAGUGCCUUCCCAGAGGCGUGAGGAUUUUGAGCUCCUCCCUGGCUUAUACAAGGACAAAGGGUCUGGGAGCAGCUGGCCCUCUUCUCCUCACUGACACUCUGCGCUGGAUCUGGGGAAGCCCCAGGCUCUCUGCCGCCUGGGUGUCCCGGCUCAUUGCUCCCUGGGCAUGGGAGGCACCAGUGCUGAAGCCACUGGCAUAAUGACCAACAGGGUUGAGCCCAGAGCCGCGGGCCAGGCUGGGCUAUGCGCCCUCUGGCUGCCCAAACCAAGCAGAGGACUGAGGGAGGGCUGGGCGAGCAGGAAGGGGCUGUCCAGAUGCCACAGCCCCUACCUCAGGGCCUCCUGCACUCCCACCCGCUCAGGGCAGAGCUCUUCCCAUCCUCUCAGGCCCCCUUCUGCCCCACCCCAACCCCAAGGCCU
This 1791-nucleotide long non-coding RNA is filed under the name Homo sapiens (human). Its description in RNAcentral is "HSALNT0382418". Lineage: Eukaryota; Metazoa; Chordata; Mammalia; Primates; Hominidae. The record is from RNAcentral.